Molecule: ribosomal RNA, 309 nt
Filed under: uncultured bacterium
Lineage: Bacteria
Description: partial 16S ribosomal RNA
Rfam family: Bacterial small subunit ribosomal RNA
Source: RNAcentral
AGAGACAGCAGUCGCCGCGGUAAUACGUAGGGUGCAAGCGUUAAUCGGAAUUACUGGGCGUAAAGCGUGCGCAGGCGGUUUGUUAAGACAGAUGUGAAAUCCCCGGGCUUAACCUGGGAACUGCAUUUGUGACUGGCAAGCUAGAGUCUGGCAGAGGGGGGUGGAAUUCCGCGUGUAGCAGUGAAAUGCGUAGAUAUGCGGAGGAACACCGAUGGCGAAGGCAGCCCCCUGGGCCAACACUGACGCUCAUGCACGAGAGCGUGGGGAGCAAACAGGAUUAGAUACCCCCGUAGUCCCUGUCUCUUAUAC